RNAcentral lists this ribosomal RNA (253 nucleotides) under uncultured bacterium. RNAcentral's name for it is "partial 16S ribosomal RNA". It matches the Rfam family "Bacterial small subunit ribosomal RNA", at positions 524 to 776 of the family's 1533-position model. The record is from RNAcentral.
CACGUAGGGCGCAAGCGUUGUCCGGAAUUAUUGGGCGUAAAGAGCUCGUAGGCGGUCUGUUGCGUCUGCUGUGAAAACCCGGGGCUUAACCCCUGGCUUGCAGUGGAUACGGACAGACUAGAGGUAGGUAGGGGAGAAUGGAAUUCCCGGUGUAGCGGUGAAAUUCGUAGAUAUCGGGAGGAACACCAGUGGCGAAGGCGGCGAUCUGGGCAGAUACUGACGCUGAGGUGCGAAAGCGUGGGGAGCGAACAGG